This 1004-nucleotide ribosomal RNA is filed under the name Salmonella enterica. Its description in RNAcentral is "partial 23S ribosomal RNA". It matches the Rfam family "Bacterial large subunit ribosomal RNA", at positions 711 to 1714 of the family's 2925-position model. Lineage: Bacteria; Pseudomonadati; Pseudomonadota; Gammaproteobacteria; Enterobacterales; Enterobacteriaceae. The record is from RNAcentral.
AGACCCGAAACCCGGUGAUCUAGCCAUGGGCAGGUUGAAGGUUGGGUAACACUAACUGGAGGACCGAACCGACUAAUGUUGAAAAAUUAGCGGAUGACCUGUGGCUGGGGGUGAAAGGCCAAUCAAACCGGGAGAUAGCUGGUUCUCCCCGAAAGCUAUUUAGGUAGCGCCUCGUGAAUUCAUCUCCGGGGGUAGAGCACUGUUUCGGCUAGGGGGCCAUCCCGGCUUACCAACCCGAUGCAAACUGCGAAUACCGGAGAAUGUUAUCACGGGAGACACACGGCGGGUGCUAACGUCCGUCGUGAAGAGGGAAACAACCCAGACCGCCAGCUAAGGUCCCAAAGUCAUGGUUAAGUGGGAAACGAUGUGGGAAGGCCCAGACAGCCAGGAUGUUGGCUUAGAAGCAGCCAUCAUUUAAAGAAAGCGUAAUAGCUCACUGGUCGAGUCGGCCUGCGCGGAAGAUGUAACGGGGCUAAACCAUGCACCGAAGCUGCGGCAGCGACACUCAGGUGUUGUUGGGUAGGGGAGCGUUCUGUAAGCCUGUGAAGGUGGCCUGUGAGGGUUGCUGGAGGUAUCAGAAGUGCGAAUGCUGACAUAAGUAACGAUAAAGCGGGUGAAAAGCCCGCUCGCCGGAAGACCAAGGGUUCCUGUCCAACGUUAAUCGGGGCAGGGUGAGUCGACCCCUAAGGCGAGGCCGAAAGGCGUAGUCGAUGGGAAACGGGUUAAUAUUCCCGUACUUGGUGUUACUGCGAAGGGGGGACGGAGAAGGCUAUGUUGGCCGGGCGACGGUUGUCCCGGUUUAAGCGUGUAGGCUGGUUUUCCAGGCAAAUCCGGAAAAUCAAGGCUGAGGCGUGAUGACGAGGCACUACGGUGCUGAAGCAACAAAUGCCCUGCUUCCAGGAAAAGCCUCUAAGCAUCAGGUAACAUCAAAUCGUACCCCAAACCGACACAGGUGGUCAGGUAGAGAAUACCAAGGCGCUUGAGAGAACUCGGGUGAAGGAACU